ACAGAGGAAUAUUCCAGAGAAGAUACCAGGAAUCAGAUCCAGACUGUGAAGACAUGAAAAGAUAAUAGUUGGAAACCUCAGCAAUUUUCAAUUCAAGGAAUCUAUCUAAGACAAAUAGAAUACUUUACAUUUUGUAAAAGAUGUUUAUGCAUCAAAAAAUAUAAUUUUCUGCUUGCAUUUAUGGACUCUGACCUUUUUAAGAACAUAGGACUUCAGCUCUGGAGCUGGAAGUCUGAGAUCAGAUUACCAGCAUGGUUGGGUUCUGGUGAGAGCCGUCUUGGUUGCAGACUGCCAUCUUCUUGUAUCCUCACAUGGCCAAAAGAGGGCAAGAGAACUCUCUGGAGUCUGUUUGAUAAGAGCAUGAAUCCCAUUACAUCUUCACAUGGCUCCUCCCAAAGACCCCACCUCCUAAUAUCAUCACAUGUCAUCACAUAGGGGGUUAGAAUUUCAACAUAGAAAUUUUGGGCGAACACAAACAUUCAGUCAGUUGCAAUACUUAAGGCAAAUUCAUCUUGCUUAUAACUCUGGUGCAUGUGCAUUAAAAUACUAUUGCAUUGU
This 558-nucleotide small RNA is filed under the name Pan troglodytes (chimpanzee). Its description in RNAcentral is "processed transcript". The record is from RNAcentral. Lineage: Eukaryota; Metazoa; Chordata; Mammalia; Primates; Hominidae.